Long non-coding RNA from Aedes albopictus (Asian tiger mosquito), 2465 nucleotides. RefSeq lists it as uncharacterized. The transcript has 4 exons. The record is from RefSeq and is a predicted model, not a curated record. NCBI's taxonomy places the organism in Eukaryota, Metazoa, Arthropoda, Insecta, Diptera, Culicidae.
UUGACACGGUUUAAACCAUUUGCUUACUAAUACAACGAAUUUCAUUUCAGUUCUUGAUGUAGACCAUCCAACCGUCCAAUACAUUGCGACCAACAAAUCGCGUAGAUUGAUCGUAAAUGGCCACUCUUUCACCCGUAAAAAGCGAACCGAGCGGUAUACAAUCUGGGAGUGUUGCCAAUCGAGACCUCUAGGAUGCAAGGCUGCGGUCACAACCUAUCUGGAGAACACCGGUGCAGUUAACAUUCGUGGAUCGCACAAUCACGCCGUCGUAACGGAACGACGGAGAUUGGGCCAGCGAAAGCAGCUGAUGGAGGAACGUCAGAGGGAGAGAAUACGUAGGAAAAUUAAUAUAGAGGAAGCGACAGUUUAACUCUUCCUAAUCCUGAAAUUUUACAAAAUAUGGUGUAUUGUCCAAAUGAACUGCUUAUUUGAAUCGAUAUACACAAAACAAAUAAACUGAAAAUCUGAAUCUGGUUUAUGUAGUUCUAGUACUUCGUUCGAUUUAACCACGUGGUCUUUGAUUACUCUUACUUAUUUACAGAUGUAACUUUUACAAUGCAAAAACUACAGGGUUAAGGCAAGGUACUUAAAAGAACAAGUAAUGGUCUGAUCAAUCGAUUCUUUAAACGAUCAAAAUCACUCAAACGACAUAUCUCAUUUUAUCACUAGAAAUUUAGUUCUUUGUUUCAUUGAAUUAUUUUUUACAGCUGCUUGGAGCGGUAAACUAAUCUGUGGCAAACUGUUUGUCUCAUUUACUCUGUUGUUUACGCAUGUCUUUGCACUCGGUAGCAGAAAAUGGAACCGAACCACCUCAUGUCCAGUAUACGAUCAGUAGUCGUGGAACUCCGCUGCUAUUGCUCGACGGGUUCACCUUUACCAGGGAUAAAGAACGUAACAGUUUUACCUCGUGGAAAUGUGCCCAACAUCGUACACAUUGGUAUGGCUAUGCGAAAGCUUGCUCUAGUAUUUCAUAUUUUACCAUUCACUCUUGUACUCCUUAUAGCUGCAAGGCUCGUGCCAACGCCGUCCGGGAUCGCAGUGGCCAGAAGAAAAUCGUAAUCAAACACUCGCACAAUCAUCCGCUCGUAACCGAGCGAAGAAAGAAAAGUUCCUCUAGAUAAAUAAAUGCGCUACUUCUAGUACCUCAGCCAUAGCUAACCGACAACUGAGUUUUUUCAUUGAUUAUUUUGUUGUUUUUUUUUCAAAAUAAUAUUUGCUUCACAAUCUUAUUUGUUCUUUUAUAUUACCUUGAAGCAAUAUUCUGAAAUUAUAGUAUUAUUUUCGAAUUAUCUGUAUUGUCACGGUCGCCAUGUACUAUGUUGUUCUCUUGUCUUCAACAUUUUACCAAAGCCAUGGCCAAACAGAAAGCCAAAAAGAGCUUUUCAAAUUCAGCCUUGCAAUUGACAUGAUCUAGUACAACAGUAGUCUUCAAUAACUCUUAUGGUGAUCUUUUUGCUCAACAUCUGAACUUCUCAAAUUCUGACUCGGCAUGAUGUGCAUCAGAUGUACAAUGAGCUGCCAAUUUUCAGUUAAUGGAAUGGUCUUUUUUCUACCUCAACAAAUUGUCACGCACCAUAUGCAUAAAUUCUUCAAUUUCAAAAUGUUGUUUAAGCUCUUGCUAUUCCACAGCUGAGGAAAAAACAUGUCGGACCAAGAUUGUCAAAAUACCUAAACUUGGAAGAUCAUUUAGUGGUCUUCUAGUACAUCAGUGAUUAUUUUUUGCUUGUUUUCUAUGCUGUCUUAGCACAUGCAGACAAGACAUAAUGUACAUUAUUCAUACCAUAAACUGUGAAUUUUCAGUCGAAAAGUGAUUCUCUAGUACCUCAAUGUAAACUUUCUAAUCAUAUCAUACAAUUUUCCCUAGCACCAGUAACCUACACGGUGAACAAUCGUGGCAAUCGACGAAUAUGUCACCUGGGAUAUCUUUUCGAUGCGGAGAAAAGACGACACAAAUCCACCAGCUGGCGAUGCUGCCAGGCAAAGAAGCUUCAGUGUAAGGCUCGGAUAGUCGAGCGAAUCUCAAAGUGGGGCGAGCCAUCAUAUGAAUUUGUGCGGUCUGUGCACAAUCAUGGUGUCGAUCCUGGUGACACGCUGCUGGGAUUAAGCUUCAAACUUUAAGAAGCAAUGUUACCGAAGUACAAUACGUGUUGAGCGCUCGUGGAGGCUUACAGCUAUGCAUCGAUGGCUUCCGCUACACACGUGAUCGGAUUAAAGAUAACAAAAUUAUCUACCGUUGCGUGCACUACAAACCCUUAGGAUGCAAAGCACGUGCCCACACCGAUAAGGAUGACCCCAAGGUGAAGAUUAUCGAGAUGGAACACAACCAUCCACUGAAGAUGGACCGCCGAAAAAGUGGAGCCCUGCGGCAGCUACUGGAGCAACGCAAACAAGAAAAUCGAGCGGCGGGUGUGCGUGCAAGUCGAAAAAAGUGAUGGCGAUCAGUUUUUCGGCGAUAAUCUAGUACU